This 388-nucleotide ribosomal RNA is filed under the name uncultured bacterium. RNAcentral describes it as "bacterial SSU rRNA". It matches the Rfam family "Bacterial small subunit ribosomal RNA", at positions 29 to 416 of the family's 1533-position model. The record is from RNAcentral.
AUUGAACGCUGGCGGCAUGCCUUACACAUGCAAGUCGAACGGCAGCAUGGGUGCUUGCACCUGAUGGCGAGUGGCGAACGGGUGAGUAAUGCAUCGGAACGUACCCGGAAGUGGGGGAUAACGUAGCGAAAGUUACGCUAAUACCGCAUAUUCUGUGAGCAGGAAAGCGGGGGAUCGCAAGACCUCGCGCUUCCGGAGCGGCCGAUGUCGGAUUAGCUAGUUGGCGGGGUAAAGGCCCACCAAGGCAACGAUCCGUAGCGGGUCUGAGAGGAUGAUCCGCCACACUGGGACUGAGACACGGCCCAGACUCCUACGGGAGGCAGCAGUGGGGAAUAUUGGACAAUGGGCGCAAGCCUGAUCCAGCCACGCCGCGUGAGUGAUGAAGGCC